CGCCAGGUGGUCGAGUGGUUAAGUCGGUAGACCAGGACACUACUAAACAAUCGCCAUGGCCACGACGGCGCCUAGGCGCGGGUUCGAUUCCCGCGCUCAGCAA
Non-coding RNA from Plectosphaerella plurivora, 103 nucleotides. Lineage: Eukaryota; Fungi; Ascomycota; Sordariomycetes; Glomerellales; Plectosphaerellaceae. The record is from the annotation of a GenBank genome assembly.